RNAcentral lists this long non-coding RNA (788 nucleotides) under Citrus sinensis (sweet orange). RNAcentral describes it as "long non-coding RNA (CSIN_LNC005686)". The record is from RNAcentral. Lineage: Eukaryota; Viridiplantae; Streptophyta; Magnoliopsida; Sapindales; Rutaceae.
CCUGGCUCGUAAAGCACGAAAAAACUAGAUCGAUGAAUGAGGAAUUAAGCGAAGAAAUCGCAUCUGUUAUAUAAAAAGGAUAAGGCAAAGAUAAUCAAAACAAAGUGUUUACCCAAAGAUUCACGCUACAAGAUAGAUAAUACUGUUAAUAAAAAAAAUUAGAGAACAUGAAGCUUGAUAAUACCAAAAAUUCCCCAAAUGAGCAUUAGGGUUACCUUGAGAAUUGACUGAAUUUUGUUUGCUUGGCUGGUGCUUUUUAUGCUACGAUGCCAGUGACGUACGGUUUCAAAACGAACAGACAAUGGUUUAAUUAGGAUAAUUUGAAACAGAGUGAAAAAGAUAGACGGUAUUGGGGGCCAAAGCAAAACUGAAGAUGUUGAUAGCUUAAAAGGAAGGAGACUGAUAACUAAACAAGAAGAAUAAUCAAGUAUGACAGCACAACACUGGUAGAAGAAUGACAAGAAUGAGUGGUUUUAGACAAAGGGUUUGUGAACAGCAUGAAGGAACAAGAGAAAUAGCACUUAGGGAUUUGGGUUUCUAAGUGUUGUCAAUGUUUAACACUUAGAAAGAAAAAAAGAAAGAAAGUUGAAAGUACCAAAAUGGUACAAUUUUGCUGGCAUUUUUUUAAUUAUUAAAACGUAACUUUUGUUUUUUAAAUAAAAUAAUACAUCAAACCAUCAUAAAUUCAUGACAGUAAAUAUUUCUAUCACAAGCUCAUCAUUAAUCUAUGAUAGAUUGAAAAUUCUAUCACGAGUUUGUCGUAAUUUUAUAAUAUAAGCCACUUUGCC